This 511-nucleotide ribosomal RNA is filed under the name uncultured bacterium. Its description in RNAcentral is "partial 16S ribosomal RNA". It matches the Rfam family "Bacterial small subunit ribosomal RNA", at positions 28 to 507 of the family's 1533-position model. The record is from RNAcentral.
GACAAACGCUGGCGGCAUGCCUAACACAUGCAAGUCGAACGGACAGAACAGGGAAGCUUUUCGGAGUGGAAUUGGAAAGUUAGUGGUGGAAGGGGGAGUAACGCGUGGACAACCUACCUUGUAAAGGGGAAUAACCUCGAGAAAUCGAAGCUAAUACCCCACAAUAACCUGGCUUCGCAUGAAGUAAGGCGGAAAGGCGGCGUUAGCGCUGUCGAUACAAGAUGGGUCCGCGACUGAUUAGCUAGUUGGUGGGGUAAAGGCUCACCAAGGCGACGAUCAGGAGCCGGCCGGAGUGGGUGAUCGGCCACCUUAGAACUGAGACACGGCCCUAACUCCUACGGGAGGCCCCAGUGGGGAAUCUUCCGCAAUGGGCGAAAGCCUGACGGAGCAAUGCCGCGUGAGUGAAGACGGCCUUCGGGUUGUAAAACUCUGUCCUUAUCGAAGAGAGGGUGUUGUAGUAAAUGAAGAUACUAUGACGGUAGUUGAUGAGGAAGCCCCGGCUAACUAUGUG